Molecule: ribosomal RNA, 253 nt
Filed under: uncultured bacterium
Lineage: Bacteria
Description: partial 16S ribosomal RNA
Rfam family: Bacterial small subunit ribosomal RNA
Source: RNAcentral
UACGUAGGGUGCGAGCGUUGUCCGGAAUUAUUGGGCGUAAAGGGCUCGUAGGCGGUUUGUCGCGUCGGGAGUGAAAACCCAGGGCUUAACCCUGGGCUGGCUUCCGAUACGGGCAGACUAGAGGUAUGCAGGGGAGAACGGAAUUCCUGGUGUAGCGGUGAAAUGCGCAGAUAUCAGGAGGAACACCGGUGGCGAAGGCGGUUCUCUGGGCAGUAACUGACGCUGAGGCACGAAAGCGUGGGGAGCAAACAGG